GUGGAGCCAACCUUGAAAUACCACCCUGGUUUGUUUGCGGUUCUAACCUUGGGCCCUGAAUCGGGUUCGGGAACAGUGCAUGGUAGGCAGUUUGACUGGGGCGGUCUCCUCCUAAAGAGUAACGGAGGAGUACGAAGGUACACUCAGCAUGGUCGGAAAUCAUGCAAUGCGUAUAAAGGCAGAAGUGUGCUUGACUGCGAGCCCGACGGGGCGAGCAGGGACGAAAGUCGGUCUUAGUGAUCCGGUGGUUCUGUAUGG
Molecule: ribosomal RNA, 258 nt
Filed under: Picochlorum sp. RCC944
Lineage: Eukaryota; Viridiplantae; Chlorophyta; Trebouxiophyceae
Description: partial Bacterial large subunit ribosomal RNA
Rfam family: Bacterial large subunit ribosomal RNA
Source: RNAcentral